RNAcentral lists this transfer RNA (66 nucleotides) under Aedes galloisi. Its description in RNAcentral is "tRNA-Tyr". It matches the Rfam family "tRNA". From Rfam's summary of the family: Transfer RNA (tRNA) molecules are approximately 80 nucleotides in length. Their secondary structure includes four short double-helical elements and three loops (D, anti-codon, and T loops). The record is from RNAcentral. RNAcentral also lists the same sequence under 2 other names. Lineage: Eukaryota; Metazoa; Arthropoda; Insecta; Diptera; Culicidae.
GAUUAAAUGGCUGAAGUUUAGGCGAUAAAUUGUAAAUUUAUAUAUAAGAGUUAUUCUUUUUAAUCA